UGUGUACAGAUGCUGCUGAGUCGGGCUGUGGUAAAGGCUACUGUGAAUGAAGCGCUGUGACUCUUUAAACUUUUAAAGCUCCGGUUGCUCCGAUCAGGUCCACUGAUCUGAUCAGACCCGAUCGAUCAAGGGCGUCUGAUGAGCGCAACGACAUGCAGCGACAGCGCUUUUAUUUUGAAGAGAGAGAGCAAUCA
Molecule: long non-coding RNA, 194 nt
Organism: Thalassophryne amazonica
Lineage: Eukaryota; Metazoa; Chordata; Actinopteri; Batrachoidiformes; Batrachoididae
Exons: 3
Source: RefSeq, a predicted model, not a curated record